CGACCCCAGGUCAGGAGGGCUACCCAUUGAGUUUAAGCAUAUCAAUAAGCGGAGG
This 55-nucleotide ribosomal RNA is filed under the name Mammillaria rettigiana. RNAcentral's name for it is "partial 26S ribosomal RNA". The record is from RNAcentral. Lineage: Eukaryota; Viridiplantae; Streptophyta; Magnoliopsida; Caryophyllales; Cactaceae.